AGGCAGCCCCCGGGCAGCCCUGUGGCAUCAGGAGGGAGGCAGCCCCCGGGCAGCCCUGUGGCAGCAGCAGGCAGGGAGGCAGCCCCCGGGCAGCCCUGUGGCAGCAGCAGGCAGGGAGGCAGCCCCCAGGCAGCCCUGUGGCAGCAUUUUGAUGCUCAAUUUGUACCAGAUUGAUUCCUGCCUUAUCACCCUUUGUGGUUUUUUUUUAACCCUGAGCUGAGCAUUUGCUGGUUGGGUUGGGGUUGGUUUUUUUUUUUUAUUAAAGAGCUGAUUUUUAUGGACCUAAAUUUAAUCCCAAAUCUACUUUCUGCUUAAAUUUUCUGUUUUUAAACCUCUCAAACCCCCCUCCCAAAGCUGCUUGCGUUUGGCCCAAGCAGUCAGAGCAAUACGAAGUACUACCUCAGUUGGACUUCUUUCUUCUUAGGGAGCUCUUUGGUCAGCCAGGUGUUGUCUCCAGAAAUGCCCUUGUGGGACAUACCCUAAAGCCAUUCUUUUUCAAGUGCCUUUUGUCCUCUGCUGAAAGACUUUGGGCUCUGACUCCCCCUCCAGAUGUAGGUUUUUAUAAGCACUGUUUAAAACUCACCAGCCAGACUCGAUCCUUUUUGGGUUAACCAGGACACUGUAGCUGUGUGUGUGUGUGAUUAGGAUGGGUUUGAGAACCCUCAGGUCUCUUAACCUUAGGUGAAUUAUGGUUAAAUGAAUUUUUUUUAUCCCCUUCCACUUUUUGUUGUUUUUUUAUGUGCUUUGUUUGGGUUUGUUUGGUUUUUUUUCCCCUCCCCCACCUGGAAAUCAAAGAGUAAAUCCCCAGAACAAUUCCUAGUUCAGGUUUGGGGAACUAUCACCAGACCAGGUUGUCACUUAGCAUUGCCAGAGUUUGCAGUUGAAUACCUCAACAAGAGCAAGGCUGUUUCUCAUCACACCUUUAAACUGCAGACAGACUGGGACAGAUGUGCCUACUUUUGCUGGUUUUAACUCUGACCCUUUGGGAAAUGAUCAUGUUAAUAUGGUAGGGAAAGAAAAGAAAGAAAGAAAAAAGGUUUUCUAGGGCUGUUUUUAUGCUGAAUUUGUCAAGGGUUGGGUUGGUUUUUUUUUUUUUGUACAAUGUGCAAGUUGAAGUUCUCAAAAUAAAUAUCUUUUCAGAUGAAAA
Long non-coding RNA from Pogoniulus pusillus (Red-fronted tinkerbird), 1147 nucleotides. RefSeq lists it as uncharacterized. The record is from RefSeq and is a predicted model, not a curated record. Lineage: Eukaryota; Metazoa; Chordata; Aves; Piciformes; Lybiidae. The transcript is spliced from 2 exons.